Molecule: long non-coding RNA, 283 nt
Organism: Armigeres subalbatus
Lineage: Eukaryota; Metazoa; Arthropoda; Insecta; Diptera; Culicidae
Exons: 3
Source: RefSeq, a predicted model, not a curated record
GUCGGUCGUAGAGUAGAAGUUAGUCCGGUGAUCUCAGUUUUUAUAAAGUUAUAAUUCAAGAAUCAGGUGUUACCCAUCACUAAGGGCGAAAACUCUGCUCUAGUGAACUGUAAUUUCAAUUACAAAGCGUCCAGCGGACGCCGUUUGUACGAGCUACAAGCUAGCCAUCGCAUUCCGCCAUCUUGGCGCAUUUAAGGCGCACGUGGUACCAUACCGAAGAGGACCUCGCCACGGCCCGCCAGUGACUGGUAGACAAACGGGGACAGAGGAAGACCGGCCUGCC